This 570-nucleotide ribosomal RNA is filed under the name uncultured Glomeromycotina. RNAcentral describes it as "SSU rRNA". It matches the Rfam family "Eukaryotic small subunit ribosomal RNA", at positions 548 to 1114 of the family's 1831-position model. The record is from RNAcentral. Lineage: Eukaryota; Fungi; Glomeromycota.
UUGGAGGGCAAGUCUGGUGCCAGCAGCCGCGGUAAUUCCAGCUCCAAUAGCGUAUAUUAAAGUUGUUGCAGUUAAAAAGCUCGUAGUUGAAUUUCGGGAUUGGCGCAUCGGUCGUGCCUCACGGGGUAUGAACUGGUGCAGUCAAUUUCUCACCUUCUGGAGAACCGCGAUGUCCUUAAUUGGAUGCCGCGGGGAACCAGGACCUUUACUUUGAAAAAAUUAGAGUGCUUAAAGCAGGCAUUUUUGCUUGAAUACAUUAGCAUGGAAUAAUAAAAUAGGACGGCAUGGUUCUAUUUUGUUGGUUUCUAGGACCACCAUAAUGAUUAAUGGGGAUAGUUGGGGGCAUAGUAUUCAAUUGUCAGAGGUGAAAUUCUUGGAUUUAUUGAAGACUAACUACUGCGAAAGCAUUUGCCAAGGAUGUUUUCAUUAAUCAAGGACGAAAGUUAGGGGAUCGAAGACGAUCAGAUACCGUCGUAGUCUUAACCAUAAACUAUGCCGACUAGGAAUCAGACGAUGUUAAUUUUUUAAUGACUCGUUUGCACCUUACGGGAAACCAAAGUGUUUGGGUUC